AAAAAAGUAUGCAAGAACUGCUAACUCAUGCUCCCGUGUAUAAAAACACGGCUUUUUUUC
Molecule: transfer RNA, 60 nt
Filed under: Casinycteris ophiodon (Pohle's fruit bat)
Lineage: Eukaryota; Metazoa; Chordata; Mammalia; Chiroptera; Pteropodidae
Description: tRNA-Ser
Source: RNAcentral